This 274-nucleotide ribosomal RNA is filed under the name uncultured bacterium. Its description in RNAcentral is "partial 16S ribosomal RNA". It matches the Rfam family "Archaeal small subunit ribosomal RNA", at positions 473 to 747 of the family's 1478-position model. The record is from RNAcentral.
AAACCAGCACCUCAAGUGGUCAGGAUGAUUAUUGGGCCUAAAGCAUCCGUAGCCGGCUCUGUAAGUUUUCGGUUAAAUCUGUAUGCUCAACAUACAGGCUGCCGGGAAUACUGCAGAGCUAGGGAGUGGGAGAGGUAGACGGUACUCGGUAGGAAGGGGUAAAAUCCUUUGAUCUAUCGAUGACCACCUGCGGCGAAGGCGGUCUACCAGAACACGUCCGACGGUGAGGGAUGAAAGCUGGGGGAGCAAACCGGAUUAGAAACCCGAGUAGUCC